This 72-nucleotide transfer RNA is filed under the name Ictidomys tridecemlineatus (thirteen-lined ground squirrel). RNAcentral describes it as "Spermophilus tridecemlineatus (thirteen-lined ground squirrel) tRNA". It matches the Rfam family "tRNA". Rfam says of the family: Transfer RNA (tRNA) molecules are approximately 80 nucleotides in length. Their secondary structure includes four short double-helical elements and three loops (D, anti-codon, and T loops). Further hydrogen bonds mediate the characteristic L-shaped molecular structure. tRNAs have two regions of fundamental functional importance: the anti-codon, which is responsible for specific mRNA codon recognition, and the 3' end, to which the tRNAs corresponding amino acid is attached (by aminoacyl-tRNA synthetases). tRNAs cope with the degeneracy of the genetic code in two manners: having more than one tRNA (with a specific anti-codon) for a particular amino acid; and 'wobble' base-pairing, i.e. permitting non-standard base-pairing at the 3rd anti-codon position. Lineage: Eukaryota; Metazoa; Chordata; Mammalia; Rodentia; Sciuridae. The record is from Rfam by way of RNAcentral.
GGAGUGGUAGCUCAGUGGUAGAGCACUUGCCUAGCACAUGUGAGGCACUGGGUUCAAUUCUCAGCACCACCU